This 388-nucleotide long non-coding RNA is filed under the name Mytilus galloprovincialis (Mediterranean mussel). The record is from RNAcentral. Lineage: Eukaryota; Metazoa; Mollusca; Bivalvia; Mytilida; Mytilidae.
CAAAAAUAUAUACCUUGUCAUAUAUUAAUGAACAAAAAACAGACCUAUAGAUAUAUUUGGAUAUUUUUCAUCUUCUUGUAUAUUAGUACAUGUAGUAUAUGCAUAAAUUUUGAGGUCCCGCUCAUUUUACGUUCUUGUUAGAGGCAACGCAGUCGCAAUACUCACACCUUGCUUUUCCAAUAAAUUCGUUACAUCUUAAACACUUUCCUCUAUUUGCCCCUUUUAUAUCUUUAAUUCUGAAGAAAUUUCAAUCUCAAAAGACAAUAAAAUAUGUUUUGUCAGAUAAAUGUAGUAACACUUCAGAUAGUAUCACUUUUACUGAGUUUAACAUUAAUUAUAAUCUGAUAAAAAGUUACAUUUGCCGUUCCCUCUUGAAGGACGCUGACAC